GUGAAGCGGCAACAGCUCAAAUUUGAAAUCUGGCCCUCGUGGUCCGAGUUGUAAUUUGUAGAGGAUGCUUUUGGUGCGGUGCCUUCCGAGUUCCCUGGAACGGGACGCCAGAGAGGGUGAGAGCCCCGUACGGUUGGACACCUACCCUAUAUAUAGCUCCUUCGACGAGUCGAGUAGUUUGGGAAUGCUGCUCUAAAUGGGAGGUAAAUUUCUUCUAAAGCUAAAUACCGGCCAGAGACCGAUAGCGCACAAGUAGAGUGAUCGAAAGAUGAAAAGCACUUUGAAAAGAGGGUUAAAUAGCACGUGAAAUUGUUGAAAGGGAAGCGUUUGCGACCAGACCUUCUCCUGGCGGAUCAUCCGGUGUUCUCACCGGUGCACUUCGCCUGGUUUAGGCCAGCAUCGGUUCUUGUAGGGGGAUAAAGGCCUGGGGCACGUAGCUCUUCCGGGAGUGUUAUAGCCCCUAGCGUAAUGCCCUUACGGGGACCGAGGACCGCGCUUCGGCAAGGAUGCUGGCGUAAUGGUCGUCAACGACCCGUCUUGAAACACGGACCAAGGAGUCGAACAUUUGUGCGAGUGUUUGGGUGUUAAACCCUCACGCGUAAUGAAAGUGAACGGAGGUGAGAGCCCUUCGGGGUGCAUCAUCGACCGAUCCUGAUGUCUUCGGAUGGAUUUGAGUAAGAGCAUAACUGUUCGGACCCGAAAGAUGGUGAACUAUGCGUGGAUAGGGUGAAGCCAGAGGAAACUCUGGUGGAGGCUCGCAGCGGUUCUGACGUGCAAAUCGAUCGUCA
Molecule: ribosomal RNA, 788 nt
Filed under: Hypoxylon wujianggense
Lineage: Eukaryota; Fungi; Ascomycota; Sordariomycetes; Xylariales; Hypoxylaceae
Description: Hypoxylon wujianggensis partial large subunit ribosomal RNA
Rfam family: Eukaryotic large subunit ribosomal RNA
Source: RNAcentral